AUUGAACGCUGGCGGCAGGCUUAACACAUGCAAGUCGAACGAGUGGCGGAAGGGUGAGUAAUGCUUGGGAAUCUAGCUUAUGGAGGGGGAUAACUACGGGAAACUGUAGAUAAUACCGCGUACCAUCGGAUGAGCCCAAGUGGGAUUAGGUAGUUGGUGAGGUAAGGGACGACCAAGCCGACGAUCUAUAGCUGGUCUGCGAGGAUGACCAGCCGCACUGGGACUGAGACACGGGCCAGACUCCUACGUGGGGCAGCAGUGGUGAAUAUUGCGCAAGGGGGGCAACCUGACGCAGCCAUGCCGCGGUUAUGAAGAAGGCCCUAGGGUUGUAAAGUACGUUCAGUCGUGAGGCGUACCGACAGAGGGAGCACCGGCUAACUCCGUGCCAGCAGCCGCGGUAAUAC
RNAcentral lists this ribosomal RNA (404 nucleotides) under uncultured bacterium. Its description in RNAcentral is "partial 16S ribosomal RNA". It matches the Rfam family "Bacterial small subunit ribosomal RNA", at positions 30 to 526 of the family's 1533-position model. The record is from RNAcentral.